Nerophis lumbriciformis (worm pipefish) is the source of this 1130-nucleotide long non-coding RNA. RefSeq lists it as uncharacterized. The record is from RefSeq and is a predicted model, not a curated record. NCBI's taxonomy places the organism in Eukaryota, Metazoa, Chordata, Actinopteri, Syngnathiformes, Syngnathidae.
CAUGUAAACAAACUAGGGUGAGUUCAAGGACCGCCAAAAUUAGUAGGACAAAACAGCGCUCGCCAAAUACUCGAAUCAGUGAAGCAGGUUUAAUAUAAACAGUGGGAUUUAUGACAAUUAGGGAGGUUUGUGUCAUGUUUGUCUUCCUACAGAAACCAUAUUAAAACAAAAAAUAUAUUUUUUUCCCCUCAUCUUUUUCCAUUUUUCAUACAUCUUUGAAAAAGCUCCAGGGAGCCACUAGGGCGGCGCUAAAAAGCCGCAUGCGGCUCUAGAGCCGCGGGUUGCCGACCCCUGAGCUAGGCUAACAAGCUGAGCAAAUUCAGCGCCCUCGGAAGCGGAAGGAGUGACACUUGCUGCGACCGCUGUGUUGCCGCAUUUGAAAGACGAGGUCUUGUGUUGGACACUUCCAAAACAAAAGUUCCACUCUGCUCGGAGCCAGCAAAGGGUCCUUCCACUGGACCGCGACGUUGACUGGAGAUGUGACGUCUCCAACCCCUGGCGAAGCAGACAGACAACAUCCACAGACUCGAAACGGGACGCAGAUUUAAGCCAAAGAGGGAAGCUGGCAGAAAGACGACCCAACAGUCAAAGAAGGACCACGGACACGGCGGGCCUGUGCUCAGUGGAACUCUGAGAUCCACUUGCUUUGCAUCCGCGAGCACGACUUCAUGACCUUCACCUGCCAACACAACGACACACAAAAGGUAGAUCAAAUCAGUCUUUAGUUGUCGUACAUGGUUCACUAGACAUUGCCAGGCUGGAUAACUGGUGUCAAAAUAAGCGGUUGUCGACAUAAGCAAAACUAAGAAGCAAUCAGGUAAUCCGUGUGUGCAGCUGCUGUUAAUGUUGCCUAAUGUUGCACACUGAUUAGCAAAAACAAAGUUUGGUCAUUAAUAGAUGAACUAAACACUACAGUAACAAUAGGAAGCGCUGCUUCGUGCAGACGAGGGACGGGGGCACAGUGGGCGGGGCAGCGACAAGCCUGAGAUCUCCAUGUAAUAUCAAUAUUCUGCAGAACGACAACUUUUAAAAUAGAGCAAGUGCAACAGAGAUGCAACAAACGCGGCAAAAAGUAAAGGCAAAAGGAUAAAAAAAUAUCCACUUAUUUGAUACAAUGUCACUGUUCUGCA